Molecule: small RNA, 27 nt
Filed under: Bombyx mori (domestic silkworm)
Lineage: Eukaryota; Metazoa; Arthropoda; Insecta; Lepidoptera; Bombycidae
Description: ovarian small RNA-16911
Source: RNAcentral
GCGCUUCGGCUUGUAAUGUUGAGAUGC